Long non-coding RNA from Lemur catta (Ring-tailed lemur), 2502 nucleotides. RefSeq lists it as uncharacterized. The transcript is spliced from 4 exons. Lineage: Eukaryota; Metazoa; Chordata; Mammalia; Primates; Lemuridae. The record is from RefSeq and is a predicted model, not a curated record.
GUCACCUGGAGGUGGCCUGACUCUGUGCCGAGGGCCGCGUAGAGAGCUGUCUGCCCGGCUGGGAGCCCAGGACGCGGAACUCCGGGCGGGCAGAAGAGCCCGUUUUCCCCGAGAUUCCCGACCGGCUGACGGGCUGCUCCCAGAUGGAAAAUCCCACCCUGAUUAGCCAACUGAUUUACUCAAAAUAAAACUUGCACUCCCACUCCCCUGCUCACUGCGCAUGCCCCUCGGGUCUCUGGCCAGGCGGAGGAGGUACUUUGCGGCCCGGAGGGCGAAGUCCUUUGGGACAUUUGGGCCUGGAGCAGGAGGACAUCUGGGGCUUCCUUCUAACAAUGGUACCUGUGUCUCUGUUCCUCGUCCUCCCAAGAGCCGGAGCUUUCGUCUAGCAGGUGCGUCUGUUCCGGUGCAGACUCCGUGUGCGGGUGGCAGCAGCGUGUUCAGACCCGGUGCGAUGCCCAAUUCACACCGGCACGUGAGGAGGAAGAUGGCGCCGUGAAAGGCAGGAUCCUCGGUGGCUGGAGAAGUCCUUGGGUUUAAACUUUUUAGGUGUUCGUGUUAGCGUCUAGUCUAGAAGGUGUGACGCUCUGGGCUUCCCUGGGACCUGGAAUCACUGCUCUGACGUAAGGACCGGAGGAGACAGACCGAACGAACAUGAGCCCUCAGCCUUGGAGGUGGUGGGGCAGGGGACUGGGUCCUUGUCAGCUCCGGCUCCCCGGGGACUUGCCCUGCGGACUGGGCUGGCCCUGCCCUGGCUGGGCCCCCGGGAGCCCGACUUGUGCAGUGAGGUGUCCUCUGACAUCUCAUGUGAUGUUGUCGCACCUGGAGUUGUCCGAUCCGUGUCCACCCCUCGAGCCUUCCCCACACCAGUCCUGCCCUCCAGAGACUGCACGUCCCAGAAACAAAGGAGCACGGCCUUCCCGAGGAGGGAAUGUGCAGGGACAGAGACUCUGGAAAAUUCCUUUUCUCUGGUCGGAUCCCCUUGUGCCCCCUGUCCCACACCUCCCCCUUUAAUUUUCUUGACAACCCCCCCACCGUGUUUGUUUAAAAAGCGUCGGCAUAUAUAGGCAUCUAUAUGCACCUGUACAUGUAGUAUCAUGUUUGUUUGUUUGAACACGUGUAUGAAAUGUUAUAACUAUUUUUGGUUUGUGCCGUGAGCAUCCAGCGUGCAGGAUCCACACGCCCACCCCGGAGUUAUGUGGCUGUGUCACCGCGUGGCUUUCUGGGAUUUAGAAGUCACGGGAGCUAAUGGCUCUGACAGCUGGGAGACUGAGAAACCUGAAAAGCAAAAUGGGGCUAUCUUUGCUUCAGCAACAGUGAGAGGGCGCCGUCCUCUGGCCUGUGAGCCCCAGGAAACCUGCUCUGGCCCCGCGCCAACGCGCACAGGUAGCACAGGAGCUGCAGCCCAGCUGGGGCGAGAUGAAGCUCUGUCGCCUCUUCUCCUCUGUCAUCGCCCUGGGAGACAUCAAGGCCCCCAGAGACCAUCUACAUGACUUCCUCACCUUGCCAACAAGGAAAGGAGGCCCAGAGAGGGGCAGGGACUCCCCCAAGGUCACUUGACUGGGUGAGACAGGACCAUGGGUUCUCUGUUUCCCAUUUCCCUCAUGUGACGCUAUCUAGCUGUGUACUGAUCAGCAUCUGCAGUGACGCUUCGUAGCAAACACCCUCGAACCUCAAUGUCUUACAGUGGCAAAUGUGCAUUUCCCACGCUGGGUCUGUGGUCGGAUGUGGGGACUUUGGUCCAGGAUGCAAGUCAGAUUGGGGUCUGCUCCGUAUGCCUAUCAUGGCAGGGCCCAGGCUGAAGGGACAGCAGCUACCGGGGGCAUGCUCCUGUCCUGGCAGAUGGCAGGGCUGAGAGGGCAUGCCGGCUCAUGCAGGCACCUUCAAAACCUGUGGUAACCUCACGUCCACCCGGCAUCCACUGGCCACAGCAGCCACGUGGCUAAGUCCAGAGACAAAGGGGCACCUACUCUGUCUAGAGGGCUAGCAAAGUCACAUCGCAGAAGCUCUGGGUGUAAAAGCCCCAUUACAAGGAGGGAGAAACAAGGGUUUGCAGCGACCCAGUCUACCACUUGUCCUGAGGUCCUUUUCCCACCACAACCGAGUGAAGUUUCUAAAAGGCAAAUUGGAUAAAAUUGCUUCCUCCUCUUCCUAAACACCGUCAGCCAGGCCCUAUGACUCCAGGGGAGUCUCUAAACUCACGAGUAGGUCACCGGUCACCGGCUCCCUCCUGUGUUCCCACCUUGCCUAACCAUCCCGUGAGUACCUCCUGCGUCACACCCAGUCUGACCUAGAACCCCCCUAACCAGCCUCCUCUUAAUGCCUCAGGGACAGCCAAAGCUGGCCAUGCCUUCCGGAAGAUGCUCUGACCCAGGCCCGUAGCAUCCUCGGUGCUCAGGGUGGGGGUCACUAGCUGAGCUGAAUAUUUGCCAGAAAGCAGGGACACUUAUUUCCAAACCUGCUUACACCUGGUUUAUUUGUAAUUGUCAUUAUGUAAUUUACUAA